GGGGCUGUAGCUCAGUUGGUAGAGCGGUUGCAUGGCAUGCAACAGGUCGUCGGUUCGAGACCGAUCAGCUCCACCA
RNAcentral lists this transfer RNA (76 nucleotides) under Rhodospirillaceae bacterium. Its description in RNAcentral is "tRNA-Ala". It matches the Rfam family "tRNA". Rfam says of the family: Transfer RNA (tRNA) molecules are approximately 80 nucleotides in length. RNAcentral also lists the same sequence under 1 other name. Lineage: Bacteria; Pseudomonadati; Pseudomonadota; Alphaproteobacteria; Rhodospirillales; Rhodospirillaceae. The record is from RNAcentral.